GGCGAACUAGGUGCUCCACUCUUUCUCUCCCUCACUUAAUUUCUUCCUCACAUGUAUUUUAGUUCGCUAUUAUAUGGAUUUUUAAACUUGACGUGUACAGAUCUGACAUAGAAGAGAGGAAGAAUAAUUUUAGCUAAGAGUGGAAUUUAGAGUUCAAAGAAUCAGUUGAUGCUAUUGACCAAAGAGCUAUUUUUGUUACAGUUCUUCUGAAUUAGUAAACCAGAAGGACUAAAACAUCAUUGAUCAGCCAUUGUUGUUAGAUUGAUGUUGCCUUGAUUACCACUUUGUUUGGUAGCUACACUAUAAAUUCUUGAGAUAUAGUGCAAUGGUUCAUAGUUUGUUGCGUAAUCAUAUUGAUUCUGCUGAAUUAAUACUCUCUUUGUACAUCUAGGAUUCCUACUUGCGACAAUGAUCUUUCUACUCAUGAGUAGUCCUUUUUUAUACUGAAUUUUGAUGCAUACUCUAUGCAGAAAAGAAGGCCUCCUCGGACAUUAAGAAGGUACAAUUAGGUAGUAGUGGAAGUGCUCCCUUCAAAAACAAGUAAUAUCUCUUAAUUAUUACACUAGAAUGUAUGCAUGGUAAAUACCAUGACCUUGCAAAUUUACAUCUGUCCCCUUCUCCUUUUCUCAGGAACUUGGCAGAAGCUCUACAUAUGCAAAUGGAGGUUCAGACACAGCUCCAUGAACAGUUAUAGGUGCCUUAUUUGUUCCUGUUUUCGAGCUCUAAUAGGAUGGUGUUGUUGUCGCCUUGUCGGCAUAUAUUUCUGAUAGUAGGAGCAUUCUUUUUCUUGCUUCACAAUAAUUACUGCGCUUUGUGUAUAUAUGAACGCAAAUACAUAUUUAAAUGGGUGCUAAAUGUUGUUGUGGCAUGGUGGACUUUGGAGACUAGCGCUUUUAUAGUAUUGUUACGGACUCUGUUUUUUUUACUAAUAAUCAUAUUGAUUCUACCGAACUAAUCCUCUCUUUGUAUAUCUAGGAUUCCUACUAGAACAUGUGUCAUUCCAAAUUGUGACAAUGAUCUUUCUACUCAUGAGCAGUCCUUUUUAUACUGAAUUUUGAUGCAUAUUGUAUGUGACAAGAAGGACUCCUCGGACAUUAAGAAGGUACGACUAGGUAGCAGUGGAAGUGCUCCGUUCAAAAGCAACUAAUAUCUCUGAAUUAUUACACUAGAAUGUAUGCAUGGUAAAUACCAUGACCUUACAAAUUUACAUCUGUCCCCUUCUCAUUUUCUUAGGAACUUGGCAGAAGCUCUACAUAUGCAAAUGGAGGUUCAGACACAGCUCCAUGAGCAGGUAUAGGUGCCUUCUCUGUUCCUAUUUUCGAGCUCUAAUAGGAUGGUGUUGUUGUCGGCACAUUUUUCUGAUAGUAGGAGCAUUCUUUUUCUGCUUCACAAUAAUUACCGUACUUUGUGUAUAUAUGAACCCAAAUCCAUAUUUAAAUGGGUGCUAAAUGUUUUUUCAGCAUGGUGGACUUUGGAGACUAGCGCUUUUAUAGUAUUGUUACAGACUCCGUUUUUUACUAAAUAAAAUUGAUUCAUCAACACUGCCCUACUGUUUUUGAUGCACAAAAUUAGUCAAUCAACACAUUGGCCUGCUGAAAAUCAACACAUUGGACUGCAGCCAUACUAAUUACUGCAGAAUAUGGUGGUCAGCAAAAUCUACAAGAACAACUGUCCUAGGUGUAGAAUAACAAGGGGUGUGUGCUACGAAAAAUUAAGAGAGGGGGACAAUGAAAAGGAGUUGCCUCGACAGUACAUUGCUAGACGACCUCAAUGCGGUGCUCAGGGUGGCAAACGAAGAGGCGCCCAAUGUCCUUGUGGUGGAGAUAGGGGAGGACUUGGGCGUCCUGACGGUGGAGAACAGGGACGCGCCGGUGUCCUCGUGGUGGAGAAUGAGGAGACGACCUGCAUCCUUGCAGUGGGGAACGGGAAAGCAUAUUAGCAUCUUGUUCCUAAAAAAUAUAGUUUAGUGUGGUGUUUCCCGUUGAUAGUAAGUUGACUGCCAAUUUCACAGCUUUUACAGUUUUAGGAGGUGCUGCAAGAUUAUUUUUGCAUUGUUAUCAUAGUGUGGUGUUUCCGUUGAUAGUAAGUUGACUGCCAAUUUCACAGCUUUUACAGUUUUAGGAGGUGCUGCAAGAUUAUUUUGCAUUGUUAUCUUAUAUGAUUUUCAGAUUAUUCUAUCAUGAAGUAUUGGUUUAUUAUUGAGGUAGCCUUAGAUGGAGGAGCUGAAUGCAGUUUUUGUAUCUUUUUUCAAAGUCCUGAAUGGUCCCAUGAAAAUCCUUGUAUGUGCAGUUUCAGAGCCUCAUCACACUGGUACGAAAAUAGGUAUUUAGGUAAUCGAAGGCUCCAUUUUUUCUAUUAUAUAGAUUAUAUAGCAUGGUGAUCGAAGGUAGGUUGUCACAUAGGGUUUGUUGCUUGUGAAAAUUAUAUACAGCCAUGACCAUGAGUCCCUGACAAAAUAAUCUCAGCUCAUGUUACUAGGAUCAGGGAACCUCGACCACUUUUCUGAAACACGACGCAUCUCAUGUUCCUACUUUCCCAGCUACAAUACUAUGUACUUCAUUCUUACAUUUGCUUUUCGAAGUUAUAUCGCUUUCUUUUCCCUCAUAAACUUGCUAAUGAUAUUGGCGAAGUAAUCCCCACUUCAGAUUUCCCAUUUAAUGAAUAACUAAUUUAGUUUGUUCAAAAAUUGUAGGUCAAGAGCCAUGAAUAGGAGCAAGGCAUCACACUCCAUCUCCGAAGCAAAAACAUUUUGCUUGUAAUAAUGAACUGUAGUUUACCACAAUCUCUCAAAAACAGGCCUACCUAUUACCAGUCCGUUUCUUGCCUUUCUUUAGGAAGUAUGCUCGGUCGUAUAUAUUUACAUUCGUGUUGUUUAGUUGUGGUUUGUAUGCUUGAAAAUACGUUUUAACCGAGCUUGAAAAUUCUUAUGUGAAGUGAAAUUGUAUCUAACACUUUGUAAAGAACAAAUGAAACACGUUUCAAAUAA
This 2986-nucleotide long non-coding RNA is filed under the name Triticum aestivum (bread wheat). RNAcentral describes it as "long non-coding RNA (TAES_LNC020316)". The record is from RNAcentral. Lineage: Eukaryota; Viridiplantae; Streptophyta; Magnoliopsida; Poales; Poaceae.